Molecule: ribosomal RNA, 2028 nt
Filed under: Triticum aestivum (bread wheat)
Lineage: Eukaryota; Viridiplantae; Streptophyta; Magnoliopsida; Poales; Poaceae
Description: partial small subunit ribosomal RNA
Source: RNAcentral
CCAAAAUCUUGCUCAGAAAAAAAACCAUCCCGAAAUCCACCACACAGGACGACGGCGAUGGCGGCAGGCGGCGGCGGCUACGCAGGGACGGCGAUGGCGGGUUGACGCGCCCCCUUCUCCCGGCGCCCCUCCUUCUCCGGCGACACCCUUCUCCCCGGGACGCCCCUUCUCCGGCGCCCUCUCUCCCAGACAACUUCGACAAGGAAGGCAAGGACCGCACAGCUCAUGGCCAAGGGCGGCGUCUUCGUCCUCCGGCAGACGCACCGGCCGCCACUCCCGGCUCGGCCUCCACAUCCUCCAUGCCCACCAUGAGCUAGCAGGCUCAAUCGCCAGGCAAGCUCUCUGUCGGACUCGGAUCUCACUUUGUUUUGAACCUGCUUGAUCCUUUCAUUGCUCCCUGUACUGAUCAUAAAACCGAUGUGUUGCAGGAAGAUGGAAUGCUGCUUCAUCGGUAUCUGGAAGAGACAGCCCACCCUGCCCACAGGAUGUCAGCUCCCAUGGCAGCAAAGGAGCAAGAUAUCUGGAUCCAGUCCUUCCAGAGGACAUAUGGUGUCGUAUAUAUUCCUUACUACAGAUGCAAGAUGCUGCACCGGCCGCCUGUGUUUCUCGCUCCUCCCUAGGCUACUGGAGAUGCCAUCCCAAUCUCACCUUCACCAAUGAAACGAUGUGCCCGAAAGAAAAUUUGAAUACACCAGGAUCAGACGCUAUUAUAAGAGACUACAACAACAAUAUCGACCGUGUUCUGACAAACCGCUCGGGCGCUGCCUCCGUGACGAAACUCAGGCUUGACUACCAUGUUCCUCGUGAUGGCACUGAAUCGUAUCAUCAUCUUGAUAGCUGGCUUCAGAUGGCUGUUACACCGAGAACCGAAGAACUCGAGCUUCUAGUAUGGUCGAAAGAGGCGAGCUUUGAUUUCACAGGUGUGGGGGCUCGAUUCAGAAGCUUCUCCUUUUCAGGUGCGCCUUGCGUCCCACAUUUCAACUUGGUUUGACAAGCCUGAAAACACCGCAUCUGCGCGAUGUGCGUGUUACCGGGGAGGAGUUAGGGUGCCUUCUGUCCAGUUCCACUGCUUUGGAACACCUGAAGCUUGUAUACUGCGAUGAUAUUGUUCGCCUCGAGAUACCUUGCCUGCUACUGCGGCUCAGCUUUCUAGAGGUGGCUGGAUGCAUGAAUCUUCAAGUGAUAGAGAAUGAAGCUCCAAAUCUCUCCAGAUUUUACCUUGAAGCAGGUGAACUGGUGCAAGUCUAGUUUGGAGAGUCGAAAGUGAAGAAAGUGCAGUUAAUGCAGAGUUGUGCCAUCAGUUAUGCUAUUGACAACCUUCCUUCCCGUGCGCAGAAUCUUGAGACUCUUACCAUAUAUUCUACUUGUGAGAGAGUCAAUGCACCAAUGGCAUCCAUCAAAUUCCUCCACCUCAAGUUCUUGAGUAUUCUUCUUGUUAGUGGAUCUAAUUUUGACCGGGACUAUGAUUAUUUAUCAUUGCUUCCUUUUUUUGAUGCUUCUCCUUCCCUGGAGACGUUUCGCUUGUUUGUAGCGGAGCAAUCCAUGUCUGACUGGUUUGAGGGAGAUCGCUCGUCUCUGAGGAGAAUGCCACAACACUGCCAUGGGAACCCCAAGAGUGUGAAGAUCGUCGGUUUCUUUCCCCAAAAGAGCAUGGUUGAGCUAACAUGUCAUAUUCUUGAGAAUGCAACGUCACUUGAGUCCCUUACAGUGGAUGCUAGUCCUGCUAAUUACCGGUGUUCUGGCAGGGGCAGGAAAUGCUGUCCCCUGGAAGCUACAGCUAUAGUGAAGGCACGUAAACCAGUCUUGGCUGUGAAAAAAUACAUCGAGGGGAAUGUUUCCUCUACAGUCAAGUUAAAUGUUCGGGAGCCUUGCAGACGAUGCCAUCGUUUGGUAAAAUCAGGUGUCAAGCCAUUCUAUCUGAUGUUUAAUGAUUAGAUGUUUUAGUUGCCAUGUUACUUUCAAGAGCUGUCCAACGUUUAGGGGUCUGUGAUAUUACAUUCUUGUAAACUUUGUUUACCAGACUGUCCA